This 1051-nucleotide small RNA is filed under the name Pongo abelii (Sumatran orangutan). RNAcentral describes it as "retained intron". The record is from RNAcentral. Lineage: Eukaryota; Metazoa; Chordata; Mammalia; Primates; Hominidae.
AGAUGCAGCUGCUGCACAAGACGGAGGACGGGGAGUUCUGGAUGUCCUACCAAGAUUUCCUGAACAACUUCACGCUCCUGGAGAUCUGCAACCUCACGCCUGAUGCACUCCCUGGGGACUACAAGAGCUACUGGCACACCACCUUCUACGAGGGCAGCUGGCGCAGAGGCAGCUCCGCAGGGGGCUGCAGGAACCACCCCGGCACAUUCUGGACCAACCCCCAGUUUAAGAUCUCUCUUCCUGAGGGGGAUGACCCAGAGGAUGACGCAGAGGGCAAUGUUGUGGUCUGCACCUGCCUGGUGGCCCUAAUGCAGAAGAACUGGCGGCAUGCACGGCAGCAGGGAGCCCAGCUGCAGACCAUUGGCUUUGUCCUCUACUCGGUCCCAAAAGAGUUUCAGAACAUCCAGGAUGUCCACUUGAAGAAGGAAUUCUUCAUGAAGUAUCAGGACCAUGGCUUCUCAGAGAUCUUCGCCAACUCACGGGAGGUGAGCAGCCAACUCCGGCUGCCUCCGGGGGAAUAUAUCAUUAUUCCCUCCACCUUUGAGCCACACAGAGAUGCCGACUUCCUGCUUCGGGUCUUCACCGAGAAGCACAGUGAGUCAUGGGAAUUGGAUGAAGUCAACUAUGCUGAGCAACUCCAAGAGGAAAAGGUCUCCAAGGAUGACAUGGACCAGGACUUCCUACAUUUGUUUAAGAUAGUGGCGGGAGAGGGCAAGGAGAUAGGGGUGUAUGAGCUCCAGAGGCUGCUCAACAGGAUGGCCAUCAAAUUCAAAAGCUUCAAGACCAAGGGCUUUGGCCUGGAUGCUUGCCGCUGCAUGAUCAACCUCAUGGAUAAAGAUGCCUCUGGCAAGCUGGGGCUUCUAGAGUUCAAGAUCCUGUGGAAAAAACUCAAGAAAUGGACGGCAUCAAGCUGAACAACAAGGUAAUGCAGGUCCUGGUGGCCAGGUAUGCAGAUGAUGACCUGAUCAUAGACUUUGACAGCUUCAUCAGCUGUUUCCUGAGGCUAAAGACCAUGUUCAGUGAGUUAGGCAUCUACCCACUCCCCAGCCUA